UCCUGCCAGUAGUCAUAUGCUCGUCUCAAAGAUUAAGCCAUGCAUGUGUAAGCAUAAGAGAUACAAAACAAAGCUGCGGAAGGCUCAUUAAAUCAGUUAUAAUCUAUAUGGUGAAUCAAACUACACGGAUAACUGUAGUAAUUCUAGAGCUAAUACGAUUACCUUGGGAGCCAUGCAAAUGGCUUACCGAUCGGGGGGAUAGUUAGUGUCAAGUUAAAUUUGAAAACCCCCCUGAUAUCGAGUCGGCUGUAAAGCCGAUAUACCAUAUGAAUUUCUGACCUAUCAACUAGAUGGUAGUGUAGUGGACUACCAUGGUUUCUACGGGUAACGGGGAAUUAGGGUUCGAUUCCGGAGAGGGAGCCUGAGAAACGGCUACCACUUCUAAGGAAGGCAGCAGGCGCGCAAAUUACCCAAUCUCAAUUUGAGGAGGUAGUGACAAGAAAUAGCAAUGCCUCGACCCUUUUGGGUCUGGCAAUUGAAAUGAAUUAAAUCUAAAUCCUUUGAUGAGGAACAAUUGGAGGGCAAGUCUGGUGCCAGCAGCCGCGGUAAUUCCAGCUCCAAUAGCGUAUAUUAAAUUUGUUGCAGUUAAAAAGCUCGUAGUCUAUGUUGGAUCCGUCCUAAUCGAGGGGGCUGCUUUCGGGUAGUUCACUACGGUUCUAGUCCGGAUCAUAGCGUCUUGGUGAAAGGUUAACUAUUAAUUUAGUGCUUUAGCUGAGACCGCUCCACCUUGAGAAAAUUAGAGUGUUCAAAGCAUGCAGGUCUGCAUGAAUAUAUUAGCAUGGAAUGGUAAUAGUGUCGGGAGUUGAUUGAUACCAACCUCGACUCAGUGAUUAAUAGGAACGAUUGGGGAUAUUUGUAUUUAAUAGUCAGAGGUGAAAUUCUUGGAUUUAUUAAAGACAAACAGAUGCGAAAGCGUUUAUCAAGGGCGUUUUCAUUGAUCAAGAACGAAAGUUAAGGGAUCGAAGACGAUCAGAUACCGUCGUAGUCUUAACUAUAAACGAUACCGACCAGGAAUUAGGAGACGUUAAUAUGGAUGACUCCCCUAGCGCCUUACGAGAAAUCUAAAGUCUUUGGGUUCUGGGGGGAGUAUGGUCGCAAGGCUGAAACUUAAAGGAAUUGACGGAAGGGCACACCAGAAGUGGAGCCUGCGGCUUAAUUUGACUCAACACGGGAAAUCUCACCAGGUCCAGACAUUGGUAUGAAAGACAGGUUGACGACCUUUCUUGAUUUUAUGGGUGGUGGUGCAUGGCCGUUCUUAGUUGGUGGAUUGAUUUGUCUGCUUAAUUGCGAUAACGAACGAGACCUUGACCUGCUAACUAGUUUGGCGAACACAUAUAUGGUUGAAACUAUCAUAUGAGAACGGGGAUUUAUCUCAAGUUGCAUUGGUAGCGGAUGCUCGUGCGAUUUGUCACUAACUUCUUAGAGGGACUGCUAGCACAAAGCUAGAGGAGGAUAGGCAAUAACAGGUCUGUGAUGCCCUUAGAUGUUCUGGGCCGCACGCGCGCUACAAUGAAGUUAGUAAAAGGAAUUACUGGAUUUAAUGGUUUGGUAAAUCGGUAAUCCUCUUCUUAACCGGAAUAGAUGAUUGCAAUUAUUUGUCUUGAACGAGGAAUUUCUAGUAAGUACAGUUCACUAAACUGUGCUGAUUACGUCCCUGCCCUUUGUACACACCGCCCGUCGCUUCUACCGAUUGAAUGUUCAGGUGAAAUGUUCGGACUUUACAUUGUCUUGUGGGCAACCACAAAUAGUGUUAGGAAAGAGCAGUAAACCAUAACAUUUAGAGGAAGAAGAAGUCGUAACAAGGUCUCCGUAGU
Molecule: ribosomal RNA, 1814 nt
Filed under: Protostelium mycophagum
Lineage: Eukaryota; Evosea; Variosea; Protosteliida; Protosteliaceae
Description: SSU rRNA
Rfam family: Eukaryotic small subunit ribosomal RNA
Source: RNAcentral